Molecule: non-coding RNA, 161 nt
Organism: Pelobates cultripes (western spadefoot toad)
Lineage: Eukaryota; Metazoa; Chordata; Amphibia; Anura; Pelobatidae
Source: the annotation of a GenBank genome assembly
CAGCAGACACAUUCCAGCCAAUCAGCAGCAGACCCUCCCUCUCAGACCCUCCCACCUCCUGGACAGCAUCCAUUGUGAAGCUGCAUUCUUAGUGAGCUGUCCAGGAGGUGGGAGGGUCUGGGAGGGAGGGUCUGCUGCUGAUUGGCUGGAAUGUGUCUGCU